RNAcentral lists this long non-coding RNA (429 nucleotides) under Papio anubis (olive baboon). RNAcentral's name for it is "lncRNA (ENSPANG00000037132.1)". Lineage: Eukaryota; Metazoa; Chordata; Mammalia; Primates; Cercopithecidae. The record is from RNAcentral.
GUUUUUAUUUAUCAGGAAGUUUCUUUACUUUUGAGCAAAAUGCUUUUUAAAUAUAAAAAUUCUAUGUUUUUAAUUCUUCUUUUUUGAACAUUAAAGAUGUCCUACUGUCUUCAGUUCUACUUUUUAUAGCUGUAUUCCUGUGUGUUAUGCAUCUUUUUUCUCUGGCUAAUUUUAACAUUGUCGCCAUAGCUUUAUGGUUUAGCAGUUUGACUUUUCUCUUCUCUUAGGAAUGGUUUCCUCUCUAUUUAUCUUGCUUGUGUUCUGCUGGGUUUCUAAAUUCUGUGAAUACUAUCUAUUUACAGUAUGAAAAACUUUGACUACUAUAUUGUUUGUAUUUUGACUGCCCUUUUCUUAUUUUUAUUUUCUUCUAGGACUCCAGUUAUACAUAUUUCAGGAAGCUUAAUACAAUCCCAGAGAUACCUGGAAUGA